Molecule: ribosomal RNA, 529 nt
Filed under: uncultured bacterium
Lineage: Bacteria
Description: bacterial SSU rRNA
Rfam family: Bacterial small subunit ribosomal RNA
Source: RNAcentral
AAUAGAUACCCAGGUAGUCCACGCCGUAAACGUUGGGCGCUAGAUGUGGGGACCUUUCCACGGUUUCCGUGUCGUAGCUAACGCAUUAAGCGCCCCGCCUGGGGAGUACGGCCGCAAGGCUAAAACUCAAAGGAAUUGACGGGGGCCCGCACAAGCGGCGGAGCAUGCGGAUUAAUUCGAUGCAACGCGAAGAACCUUACCAAGGCUUGACAUACACGAGAACGGGCCAGAAAUGGUCAACUCUUUGGACACUCGUGAACAGGUGGUGCAUGGUUGUCGUCAGCUCGUGUCGUGAGAUGUUGGGUUAAGUCCCGCAACGAGCGCAACCCUCGUCGCAUGUUGCCAGCACGUUAUGGUGGGGACUCAUGUGAGACUGCCGGGGUCAACUCGGAGGAAGGUGGGGAUGACGUCAAAUCAUCAUGCCCCUUAUGUCUUGGGCUUCACGCAUGCUACAAUGGCCGGUACAAAGGGCUGCGAUGUCGUAAGGCGGAGCGAAUCCCAAAAAGCCGGUCUCAGUUCGGAUUGAGGU